UACGGGGGGGGCAAGCGUUGUUCGGAAUUACUGGGCGUAAAGGGCUUGUAGGUGGCCAACUAAGUCAGGCGUGAAAUCCCUCGGCUUAACCGGGGAACUGCGUCUGAUACUGGAUGGCUGGAGUGUGGGAGAGGGAUGCGGAAUUCCAGGUGUAGCGGUGAAAUGCGUAGAUAUCAGGAGGAACACCGAUGGCGAAGGCAGGUCUCUGGGCUGACACUGACGCUCAUGCACGAAAGCGUGGGGAGCAAACAGG
This 253-nucleotide ribosomal RNA is filed under the name uncultured bacterium. RNAcentral's name for it is "partial 16S ribosomal RNA". It matches the Rfam family "Bacterial small subunit ribosomal RNA", at positions 524 to 776 of the family's 1533-position model. The record is from RNAcentral.